AUUGAACGCUGGCGGCAGGCCUAACACAUGCAAGUCGAGCGGAUGAAGGGAGCUUGCUCCUGGAUUCAGCGGCGGACGGGUGAGUAAUGCCUAGGAAUCUGCCUGGUAGUGGGGGAUAACGUCCGGAAACGGGCGCUAAUACCGCAUACGUCCUGAGGGAGAAAGUGGGGGAUCUUCGGACCUCACGCUAUCAGAUGAGCCUAGGUCGGAUUAGCUAGUUGGUGGGGUAAAGGCCUACCAAGGCGACGAUCCGUAACUGGUCUGAGAGGAUGAUCAGUCACACUGGAACUGAGACACGGUCCAGACUCCUACGGGAGGCAGCAGUGGGGAAUAUCGGACAAUGGGCGAAAGCCUGAUCCAGCCGUGCCGCGUGUGUGAAGAAGGUCUUCGGAUUGUAAAGCACUUUAAGUUGGGAGGAAGGGCAGUAAGUUAAUACCUUGCUGUUUUGACGUUACCAACAGAAUAAGCACCGGCUAACUUCGUG
This 484-nucleotide ribosomal RNA is filed under the name uncultured bacterium. RNAcentral describes it as "partial 16S ribosomal RNA". It matches the Rfam family "Bacterial small subunit ribosomal RNA", at positions 30 to 507 of the family's 1533-position model. The record is from RNAcentral.